GGAAACGGAAAUACAUAUCCUAAUUAGGAACUACAUAGGAUUAUCUACACCUACAAAUCUAUCCUUGGGGAUAAUGGCACCUCUUGGUACAAGGUAUUCACACCAUUUCGUCCCAACCAAACUCUGAUACCAUGUAGAUUUAAGAGAAUAGACUGCUCUUAUUAUUAUGAUAGCCCGUAGGCAAUAGGGUAUAUAUACACAAGUCUCCAUAUGAGACUUACCUACUCUAAAAAUCUUAUUAGGAGAUAGUUACCUAAUAAUAUAUAUACUAUAGUUAAUACAAUUACUAUAGGGAAACGGAAAUACAUAUCCUAAUUAGGAACUACGUACAUAUACACAUGUCUCCAUAUAAGACUGACCUACUCUAGGAAUCCUAUUAGGAGAUAGUUACCUAAUAAUAUAUACUAUAGUUAAUACAGUUACUAUAGGGAAACGGAAAUACAUAUCCUAAUUAGGAACUACAUAGAAUUAUCUACACUAUAUAAAGGUGGCAAUAGUGUGGUAGAAUACAUACAGAAAACAGACAUCUAUCCUAGCCUACGAUUCUAAAGUGACUCUAAUAUCUAAAGUCUAAGAACUUGAGUGGAGACGGUUUUAUCCUCGGAAGGAAUUUCCCGAUACCCAAAGCUUGUAAGGGUGGAAAUACUCUUUUCGGAAAGUGGUACCCACGAUUCCGUAUUGAUCCUAGAUUUCAUCACCUAUCAAAACUCGAAGCAUUGCUACUUGGAACCUCCUAAGCUAACAGAAACUAGUCCAAAUGUGGAAACCAUAACCAAUCAGUGAGCCAAAUUUUAUCAGCCAAACGGUACAACAACCAGUACCAUAACAACCAGGAAUUCUAGUCUAGCCAAGCCGCAAGACAUUAAACCAAAACAUUAAACCAAAACGGUACCCAAAAUAUUGAAGGGCCAAUGGAUCAGAGUAAACCUGGAGCUUAAUCACAACAUAGGUGGCAAUUGGGUUAUUCAUCUUAGAGCUUUCAAUCCUUCACUUCAAUAACAAUGUUUUGCAUGUGUUGGAUCUGGCUCACCAAUAGGCAACCUGUAUAUGCAUAGAAAUGGUGGCAUGUCGUGUAUUAGCUUCUCCUCACUAAAACUGUAGAUUGUGAAGUAGGGAUCAAACUUCAUAUAGUGGUACAUUGGAUUCCAUGACUAACCAACUAUGUAAACUAACUGAACUGGAAAGAGGAUUCCAAAGAGAGGAUGUAGGUGAAGAAGAAGGCAAACAACUGUUCUACUCCACCUUAUAAUCCUAAGACAUAAAUAAGAAAUCAUAGAGAAACGGAAUCUGGCCAUGGGCGGAGCUUAUGAAUCCUGGAAAUCAGGCAGGGAAGAUAUGGGAUCGAUAAUGAGGGGGGGGUCUACGGAGGAGAGGUUGCAUAUAUCCCUGAAUUUGAUGAAGACUGAGAGAGAGGGGAGUGAGCAAAAAUUCAGACGCAAAAACAAACUCUACACAAUCCC
RNAcentral lists this long non-coding RNA (1460 nucleotides) under Linum usitatissimum (flax). RNAcentral's name for it is "long non-coding RNA (LUSI_LNC002754)". Lineage: Eukaryota; Viridiplantae; Streptophyta; Magnoliopsida; Malpighiales; Linaceae. The record is from RNAcentral.